UGCGACAAUACUUCAGAGAAUCAUUUCUAUAGUAGUUGUCCUCUCUUGGUUUCCCUAAAGGAGCCACAGAUCCCACCCGGGUUGAUGAACGAUAUCCUCGACGCCCUUCAGUGAGGUUCCUUUUUUUUACUCUCGCUCUGCCUGCGAAGGCGGCGGUCGCUGGCUCCCUCGCGGGCUGCGGCUGUAUAGAGAGUGGCGAUGAUCUGUGCCCCGGCUUUUCCCCGGGGUCUUGCCUUCGGGCGCUCGGGCGGGGCGGGUGUCGAUGGAAGUCUGACCGGC
Molecule: small nucleolar RNA, 279 nt
Filed under: Thermothielavioides terrestris NRRL 8126
Lineage: Eukaryota; Fungi; Ascomycota; Sordariomycetes; Sordariales; Chaetomiaceae
Description: Thielavia terrestris NRRL 8126 Fungal small nucleolar RNA U3
Rfam family: Fungal small nucleolar RNA U3
About the family: Small nucleolar RNAs (snoRNAs) are involved in the processing and modification of rRNA in the nucleolus. There are two main classes of snoRNAs: the box C/D class, and the box H/ACA class.
Source: Rfam by way of RNAcentral